Molecule: ribosomal RNA, 315 nt
Filed under: Triticum aestivum (bread wheat)
Lineage: Eukaryota; Viridiplantae; Streptophyta; Magnoliopsida; Poales; Poaceae
Description: partial small subunit ribosomal RNA
Source: RNAcentral
AUGGGCACGAUGGGGUAUAUGGACCCAAUCUUCUUCAUGACUGGCGAGCUCACCACGGAGUCGGACGUCUACGCGUUCGGCAUGGUGAUCCUGCAGGUGCUCACGGGGCUGCUCGAUGUCAACAUCGUGGAGCAGGUGCAGGAGGCGCUCAAGAUGGACGCCAUGCAUGGUCUGCUGGAUGCAUCUGCCGGCAGCUGGCCGAGGGUGCAGGCAGAGCGGCUCCUUCGGCUGGCGCUGAGGUGCUGCAACCUGGAGCAGAAGCAGCGGCCGACCUUCACGUCCGACACCGACUGGAGGCCGCUGGACAUCCUGCGG